GAUUACAAGGGCUUUGUCACCCUUCCAAUCUCGCUGAAAGAUCCAUAAUUAGGGAGGUUUUUCCUUCAACAUACGUGCCCAGCAGACAAAAAUAUAAUUCAGACUUACAAUUGCAUGAAUUAGUUAUUUCAGUAUACCGGAUACGUACAAGCCCAGCUGUUACAAAGAGUUUAAAAAUCUUGUGUGCCUCAAAUGAGUAAAUAUACAUCAAGGCUUUUUUUUUUUUACUGGCUUGUUCGCGUUUGUGCCGAGACUACACACAAUCACACUAAGGACCUGGGUUGGAUGUUUGCUACUGGGAUAAAUACACCAAGUACAAUAAAAACAAACGGCUGACCUCGAAGAGUAGUUAUUUUUGCUCCUCUAGAAAUUAAUUCUGCAAGCAGGAGUGUACGAGCAGAUACCUAAGACAGCCAGCCUGCUUUUUGCCCUCUAACGGAGUAACGCCGAUUUACUCCUUCGGCACACAGCCUACCCAGGGGAGAAAGAAACACCAUGGAGCAGGCAGGGUGCGGGUCUCCGCCGGGCUGGGCAGGACCGGUCCCCGUGGGGCAGCCGGAGGCGGCUCCUCCGGCGCUGUCGCCCCCCGAGCAUGGCCCGAAGGCGGCCCCUUCCCCCAGAGCCCAGCCCGGCACCCGCCGCCUCCCCUCUGCCUCCCUCCAGCGGGGAAAUCCCGGCUGGAUGGGGAGAAGCCUCCCCGCUCCGGAGUGCAGGGGGAUGCUGCGAGCUCCGCCAGCGCCGGGGCCACCCGUUUCUAAAACACAGAAAUCAUUUUUCCAAAAUCCCAACAACUCAACGACAGCCGAGUGAGGAGUCGGGAGGCUGGGAGGCUCCCACGGCGCCUUCCGCAGCGGCGGGGAGCGGGGGAUGUGCAGACGUCACAGGACUGUAACAGCCUUUCCUGUUCCAGAGUCUUCUAAAAGCAAGUGGAAAGAAUGCAGGCUUAAAGCAGGCUUUUAGAUCACAUCCUCAGCCUCCACGUUUCACACGACCAGGCUCUGGCACUGAGGUGCAUUAAGAGCAAAGAGAAGAGAAACAAUAAACAACAUCCUUCCCUGCUUGCUCUUGGAAUUCAAAUGGUGAGAAGUUGCAAGAGCUCUGUGGUACUGACACACAGUCAGUGGUGUCAGCCUCUGCUUUGCAGGACCAGGGUGCAGGCUCACAUCAGAGACAGCUGUGACAUCAGAGGAAGAUUUCUUGUCAGGCCAAACUAUUACACAGAGACGUGUUUUUGCCUGCUAGGACUCAUUAGUGCUGUAUACAGGAGCAUUGGCUAUGGGUGAAGGUUGUGAUUUGGUACAAUCUGCUCUCAAUAAAUGUCUGUGAAAGUCA
Molecule: long non-coding RNA, 1332 nt
Organism: Taeniopygia guttata (zebra finch)
Lineage: Eukaryota; Metazoa; Chordata; Aves; Passeriformes; Estrildidae
Source: RefSeq, a predicted model, not a curated record